UCCUCAGUAGUGUAGUGGUUAGUAUUCCCGUCUGUCACGCGAGCGACUGAGGUUCGAUUCCCCACCAGGGAG
This 72-nucleotide transfer RNA is filed under the name Cordylochernes scorpioides. Its description in RNAcentral is "tRNA-Asp". The record is from RNAcentral. Lineage: Eukaryota; Metazoa; Arthropoda; Arachnida; Pseudoscorpiones; Chernetidae.